RNAcentral lists this long non-coding RNA (518 nucleotides) under Homo sapiens (human). Its description in RNAcentral is "HSALNT0000277". Lineage: Eukaryota; Metazoa; Chordata; Mammalia; Primates; Hominidae. The record is from RNAcentral.
GGACAUGCCCGGAGCGCGCGCUGGAGCGGCGCGAGGAGGAGGCGAACGUGGUGCUCACCGGGACGGUGGAGGAGAUCCUCAACGUGGACCCGGUGCAGCACACGUACUCCUGCAAGGUUCGGGUCUGGCGGUACUUGAAGGGCAAAGACCUGGUGGCCCGGGAGAGCCUGCUGGACGGCGGCAACAAGGUGGUGAUCAGCGGCUUUGGAGACCCCCUCAUCUGUGACAACCAGGUGUCCACUGGGGACACCAGGAUCUUCUUUGUGAACCCUGCACCCCCAUACCUGUGGCCAGCCCACAAGAACGAGCUGAUGCUCAACUCCAGCCUCAUGCGGAUCACCCUGCGGAACCUGGAGGAGGUGGAGUUCUGUGUGGAAGAUAAACCCGGGACCCACUUCACUCCAGUGCCUCCGACGCCUCCUGAUGACCAGGCCCCGUCCCCAUGCCUCGGGGUGCAGUGUGCAUUUGGGGCGACGUGUGCUGUGAAGAACGGGCAGGCAGCGUGUGAAUGCCUGCAG